RNAcentral lists this ribosomal RNA (737 nucleotides) under uncultured Methanomicrobiaceae archaeon. RNAcentral describes it as "bacterial SSU rRNA". It matches the Rfam family "Archaeal small subunit ribosomal RNA", at positions 85 to 827 of the family's 1478-position model. The record is from RNAcentral. Lineage: Archaea; Methanobacteriati; Methanobacteriota; Methanomicrobia; Methanomicrobiales; Methanomicrobiaceae.
ACGGCUCAGUAACACGUGGACAACCUAACCUAUGGUGGGGGAUAACCCCGGGAAACUGGGGAUAAUACCCCAUAGACUAUGGAAGCUGGAAUGCUCUGUAGCCGAAAGGUCAGCCGCCGUAGGAUGGGUCUGCGGCCGAUUAGGUAGUUGUUGGGGUAACGGCCCAACAAGCCUGUAAUCGGUACGGGUUGUGGGAGCAAGAGCCCGGAGAUGGAUUCUGAGACACGAAUCCAGGCCCUACGGGGCGCAGCAGGCGCGAAAACUUUACAAUGCGGGAAACCGUGAUAAGGGAACUCCGAGUGCCCGUUAAAUCGGGCUGUCCACCAGUUUAAAAAACUGGUGAAGAAAGGGCCGGGCAAGACCGGUGCCAGCCGCCGCGGUAAUACCGGCGGCUCGAGUGGUGGCCACUAUUACUGGGCUUAAAGCGUUCGUAGCUGGUUUGUUAAGUCUCUGGGGAAAUCUUCCGGCUUAACCGGAAGGCGUCCCAGGGAUACUGGCAGACUAGGGACCGGAAGAGGUGAGGGGUACUCCAGGGGUAGGAGUGAAAUCCUGUAAUCCUUGGGGGACCACCUGUGGCGAAGGCGCCUCACCAGGACGGCUCCGACAGUGAGGGACGAAAGCUGGGGGAGCAAACCGGAUUAGAUACCCGGGUAGUCCCAGCCGUAAACGAUGUGCGUUAGGUGUAUCGGUGACCACGAGUCACCGAGGUGCCGAAGAGAAAUCGUGAAACGUACCGC